GGUUAAGCGACUAAGCGUACACGGUGGAUGCCCUGGCAGUCAGAGGCGAUGAAGGACGUGCUAAUCUGCGAUAAGCGUCGGUAAGGUGAUAUGAACCGUUAUAACCGGCGAUUUCCGAAUGGGGAAACCCAGUGUGUUUCGACACACUAUCAUUAACUGAAUCCAUAGGUUAAUGAGGCGAACCGGGGGAACUGAAACAUCUAAGUACCCCGAGGAAAAGAAAUCAACCGAGAUUCCCCCAGUAGCGGCGAGCGAACGGGGAGCAGCCCAGAGCCUGAAUCAGUGUGUGUGUUAGUGGAAGCGUCUGGAAAGGCGCGCGAUACAGGGUGACAGCCCCGUACACAAAAAUGCACAUGCUGUGAGCUCGAUGAGUAGGGCGGGACACGUGGUAUCCUGUCUGAAUAUGGGGGGACCAUCCUCCAAGGCUAAAUACUCCUGACUGACCGAUAGUGAACCAGUACCGUGAGGGAAAGGCGAAAAGAACCCCGGCGAGGGGAGUGAAAAAGAACCUGAAACCGUGUACGUACAAGCAGUGGGAGCACGCUUAGGCGUGUGACUGCGUACCUUUUGUAUAAUGGGUCAGCGACUUAUAUUCUGUAGCAAGGUUAACCGAAUAGGGGAGCCGAAGGGAAACCGAGUCUUAACUGGGCGUUAAGUUGCAGGGUAUAGACCCGAAACCCGGUGAUCUAGCCAUGGGCAGGUUGAAGGUUGGGUAACACUAACUGGAGGACCGAACCGACUAAUGUUGAAAAAUUAGCGGAUGACUUGUGGCUGGGGGUGAAAGGCCAAUCAAACCGGGAGAUAGCUGGUUCUCCCCGAAAGCUAUUUAGGUAGCGCCUCGUGAAUUCAUCUCCGGGGGUAGAGCACUGUUUCGGCAAGGGGGUCAUCCCGACUUACCAACCCGAUGCAAACUGCGAAUACCGGAGAAUGUUAUCACGGGAGACACACGGCGGGUGCUAACGUCCGUCGUGAAGAGGGAAACAACCCAGACCGCCAGCUAAGGUCCCAAAGUCAUGGUUAAGUGGGAAACGAUGUGGGAAGGCCCAGACAGCCAGGAUGUUGGCUUAGAAGCAGCCAUCAUUUAAAGAAAGCGUAAUAGCUCACUGGUCGAGUCGGCCUGCGCGGAAGAUGUAACGGGGCUAAACCAUGCACCGAAGCUGCGGCAGCGACGCUUAUGCGUUGUUGGGUAGGGGAGCGUUCUGUAAGCCUGUGAAGGUGUGCUGUGAGGCAUGCUGGAGGUAUCAGAAGUGCGAAUGCUGACAUAAGUAACGAUAAAGCGGGUGAAAAGCCCGCUCGCCGGAAGACCAAGGGUUCCUGUCCAACGUUAAUCGGGGCAGGGUGAGUCGACCCCUAAGGCGAGGCCGAAAGGCGUAGUCGAUGGGAAACAGGUUAAUAUUCCUGUACUUGGUGUUACUGCGAAGGGGGGACGGAGAAGGCUAUGUUGGCCGGGCGACGGUUGUCCCGGUUUAAGCGUGUAGGCUGGUUUUCCAGGCAAAUCCGGAAAAUCAAGGCUGAGGCGUGAUGACGAGGCACUACGGUGCUGAAGCAACAAAUGCCCUGCUUCCAGGAAAAGCCUCUAAGCAUCAGGUAACAUCAAAUCGUACCCCAAACCGACACAGGUGGUCAGGUAGAGAAUACCAAGGCGCUUGAGAGAACUCGGGUGAAGGAACUAGGCAAAAUGGUGCCGUAACUUCGGGAGAAGGCACGCUGAUACGUAGGUGAAGUCCCUCGCGGAUGGAGCUGAAAUCAGUCGAAGAUACCAGCUGGCUGCAACUGUUUAUUAAAAACACAGCACUGUGCAAACACGAAAGUGGACGUAUACGGUGUGACGCCUGCCCGGUGCCGGAAGGUUAAUUGAUGGGGUCAGCGCAAGCGAAGCUCUUGAUCGAAGCCCCGGUAAACGGCGGCCGUAACUAUAACGGUCCUAAGGUAGCGAAAUUCCUUGUCGGGUAAGUUCCGACCUGCACGAAUGGCGUAAUGAUGGCCAGGCUGUCUCCACCCGAGACUCAGUGAAAUUGAACUCGCUGUGAAGAUGCAGUGUACCCGCGGCAAGACGGAAAGACCCCGUGAACCUUUACUAUAGCUUGACACUGAACAUUGAGCCUUGAUGUGUAGGAUAGGUGGGAGGCUUNNNNNNNNNNNNNNNNNNNNNNNNNNNNNNNNNNNNNNNNNNNNNNNNNNNNNNNNNNNNNNNNNNNNNNNNNNNNNNAUCCGGGUUGCGGACAGUGUCUGGUGGGUAGUUUGACUGGGGCGGUCUCCUCCUAAAGAGUAACGGAGGAGCACGAAGGUUGGCUAAUCCUGGUCGGACAUCAGGAGGUUAGUGCAAUGGCAUAAGCCAGCUUGACUGCGAGCGUGACGGCGCGAGCAGGUGCGAAAGCAGGUCAUAGUGAUCCGGUGGUUCUGAAUGGAAGGGCCAUCGCUCAACGGAUAAAAGGUACUCCGGGGAUAACAGGCUGAUACCGCCCAAGAGUUCAUAUCGACGGCGGUGUUUGGCACCUCGAUGUCGGCUCAUCACAUCCUGGGGCUGAAGUAGGUCCCAAGGGUAUGGCUGUUCGCCAUUUAAAGUGGUACGCGAGCUGGGUUUAGAACGUCGUGAGACAGUUCGGUCCCUAUCUGCCGUGGGCGCUGGAGAACUGAGGGGGGCUGCUCCUAGUACGAGAGGACCGGAGUGGACGCAUCACUGGUGUUCGGGUUGUCAUGCCAAUGGCACUGCCCGGUAGCUAAAUGCGGAAGAGAUAAGUGCUGAAAGCAUCUAAGCACGAAACUUGCCCCGAGAUGAGUUCUCCCUGACUCCUUGAGAGUCCUGAAGGAACGUUGAAGACGACGACGUUGAUAGGCCGGGUGUGUAAGCGCAGCGAUGCGUUGAGCUAACCGGUACUAAUGAACCGUGAGGCUUAACCUU
This 2902-nucleotide ribosomal RNA is filed under the name Escherichia coli. RNAcentral describes it as "23S ribosomal RNA". It matches the Rfam family "Bacterial large subunit ribosomal RNA". Lineage: Bacteria; Pseudomonadati; Pseudomonadota; Gammaproteobacteria; Enterobacterales; Enterobacteriaceae. The record is from RNAcentral.